Struthio camelus australis is the source of this 2017-nucleotide long non-coding RNA. Lineage: Eukaryota; Metazoa; Chordata; Aves; Struthioniformes; Struthionidae. The record is from Ensembl.
UCGGGGAGGGGAAGCCGCCCUGGCACUGGGCUCGGAGGGCAGAGGAGCACGCCGCGAAGCAGAGCAGGACGCUUCAGGCUGCAGCUCGCCUGGUUCCCCCUUCCCACCAGCAAUCCCACCGCUCCCUCUCCAGUGAAGCUCCCGGCACGGCCCCGGCCCCGCUGGGGGCUGCUGUCGCGGGCGCUUUCUGCACGGUUUGAGCUUUUCUCAUUGUAGCCCCCACCCUGAGCCAGACCCCUCCGCCCCUCGUGGGUCCCGGGGAGCCCCAAAAGCUCAGCCCCGAGGCCAGCUCGUUUGUGCUCACCUGGCUUCAUCUUAGUCCCAAGCCCAGCCACGUCACCUGCCGCCUUAGUGUCCUGGCCAGCCUGGGCCGUCCUGUUCAGGCGUCCUUUCCAGGUGCUGGGCUGGAGCUCAGGGACAGAGCGAGCAGGGAAACACCUCGAGGGAUGCAGAAAGUGGCCCUCUGCCUUUUGCAAGCAGAUCUCUGGUCCUGGCACGCUGCAGAGUCAGCGGGGGAAACCUCCUGCCGUAGCCGCCUGCCCAGCUUGACGCACACAGGGUGAAGGGAAAGCAAAGCUUUGGGUCUUGGGUUUGGACUUCACUAGGUUUGCAAUGGGUGUGAGUUGAGGAACAAGUUAAUGUUUGUGUGAGUGGUGCUGGAUUUUGAGCUCUGCAUGGUUGUCCGCAGGGCUGAGCAGCGCUUGGAAUGCACUGAAAGCGGGUGUUUGUGCAGAGGUUUCGGGGCAAAGGCAGCGCCCCUCCGCAGAGCCAGGCCGGAUGGCUGCGCUCCUUCGCGCCGGCCAGAGCUGGCCAUCAGUGUCGCACGUUGGACCAUGUGCUAUUUUAAUGAAAGCUUUAAAAAAAAAAUCACUUCCCUCCACCUCCCAUUUUCUGUACAUUGCUGGGGUGUUUUUUGCCACGAUUAGACCCAUGGAUCUUUUUUUUUUUUUUCCACUUUCUAUAACAAAGGAAAGCAUGGAACAUGGGUCAUCAAAGUGGAAAUGCCUGGUCACCCCUAGCGCUGUGGUGAAAUCAGAGCUCUCUAGAGAGGUGCAGCCGGUUGUGGGGCCGUCCCGGAUGGUACCAAGGUGGGGAGAGUUUGGGAGCUGCUGUGCUGCAGACAGCUCUCAGCCUGAGAUCCCAAGGGCUCCCAUGGGUUUGAAUCCGUCGAUGGUCCUAGCAGUAGAUGAUAUUGCAGCGGGCUCAGUGAGCCGCUUGGUUUUCAUCGUGAUGCUAUUUGGGAGCUGAUCUGCGCAGGGCAGGUCCGAGGCCGGCCAAAGGCAGGUGGGGGGACCUCUGCCUUCAGAGGGCUUUGAAUGGGGCUGUCCUGCUGCAGAAGGGGGACGAGGAGGGCGUACGUGUCCCUGCCGGAGGGCUGAAGCCACGUUCCUCUGCUUGGAGCCUCCGGGUGACUUGCUCCUCGUGAUCCUUUCAAGGAUGCACUGAACUAAUCUAAAUCUGCACCGAGGCACUGUGGCACUAGAGCGACUUAUGCAAUAUCAAGCUCUUAGCGGGAUUUCUGCGCGUGUUCGCGUGUGGUCCCGUUUAAUUAUCUAUCCCCUCCGGGAUCUGCAGACUUAACUCGCCUCGCUCUUCAGCGCGAGCUCGAGAUGAAAAGCCAGUUUAAACAGGAGCUGUCACCUUCCAUAAAUCAGCGGGCAGCGGUUUGGGGGGUUUUCUUAUAUUGUUGCUUCCUCUUUGAAAAAACCAUCCGUGCUUUCCCUCAGCAGAGCCGGCAGGGCCGUCGGGGUGUCCUUGCAGGGUCGCGCGGGGUCCCCCUCGGGGGGGACCCUUGCUGGGGAGGGGGGUGGAGCCACCCUGCUCCAGGGGUGCACCCCCUCCCGAGCAGAGCCGUAUAGCCCCUGGCGUUUGGGGUGGUGGCGAGCAGGACCCAAGCUCGACCCGUCAGCCUGACCCAGGUUGAAAGUACCCCUUGAAGCAGGACAGCAGCAGAGGGAGAGGAGCGCGGGCGGCCGAGCGCCACCGCGGCGCCGGGGUGUCCCUUGGCGCUGUACCC